Molecule: long non-coding RNA, 892 nt
Filed under: Homo sapiens (human)
Lineage: Eukaryota; Metazoa; Chordata; Mammalia; Primates; Hominidae
Description: HSALNT0291671
Source: RNAcentral
AGACGACAGAUGACUGUGGCCUGGCCCAGGGUGGUGGCAGCAGGGAAGAGGAGUGGAUGGGUUGGAAAACACCGCAGGAAGUAGGGCUCGAUGAGAGAGCCAGAGUGGAAGGAGCCAAGAGAUCAAGAAGGAGAAGUUGAAGAUGCGGGGAGACAGAGCUUGAUUAUCCAGUAGGAAGCAGCCUGUGUGAGAAGAGGACCGCUCCCCACCCCCAAGUAUCCACCAAGGCCAAGGAAUGGAACUAAGAACCACAGAGGAAAGUUGGCAGAGGUGCAGAGAGAUGGGCCAUGAGACUGCACUACGCUGGAACCUCAUCCCCCUGCUCUCUAUCCCAUGAAUCCAAAAUGUGCUUUCUGCCUUGAAGCCUCUAAAGAAUUCUCUUUCCUUACCAUAUCUGUCCUCUACCUCCAGAAGCCAAUUUUUCUUUUUCUUUAUCCCAAAUGUAAUAGUACAGAAGCCAGUUUUUAUUGAGCCAGCUUGAAUGGUUUCUGUCCCACGGGACAUGAAAGGCAGUGUCUUCUAGACAAGGUGUUUGAUGAGGAAUAGCUUCCUCCUCUCCCACCUGCACCAGCCCCAAACCUUCCGACUUGUUCUGUCUGCUUCCUUCUGCCGUGCCAGCCUGCCUACCUGUUGCACCAGGUCAGUGGGCUGAGCAAUGUGUUGACAAGAGCCAGAGUGGAACAAAGAGGACACAGGGGCAUCCAUCUGUUGGGACUGGCCAGACAGAGCUGACUUCUCAAACAGGGAGGUGUGGGCCCUCCCAAGCAGGAUGCCAUUGAAAGGAAGGGGAAACAUGGGGUGGAAUUUAGGCAGCCAGGAUUUGAGAAACUCAAGCAAGAUGGCUAGUGGAAACCUUCCCUCGGUUCCACUGAGCAGCUCCGUGCAGAUUCGG